GGAGCAUDUGGCUUAAUUUGACUCACGCGGGGAAUCUUACUAGGUCCGGACCGAUUCUAUGAUCGUCGUACUGUGGGGUGCUACGUGAUUACUGGAUGAGUGGUGCAUGGCCGUUCUUAGUUCGUGGUGUUAAUUGUCUACUUAAUUGUCAUCAGUUUAAUACAUGUAUUGAACUAUGAACGAACGAGAUCGAGACCCGUGGUUGCGUGUGUUUGAAUUCGGUAUUACUACGGGGAUCGCGUAUUACUCCACGGUACGAUCGAAAGACUCGGCAAUAACAGGUCUGUGAUGCCCUCAGAUGUUCUGGGCUGCACACGUGCUACAGUGUGGUUCUGUUCAUAUGUGUAUGCGUAGACUUGAGAUCCCMCGCACCGAGUCAUAACUGGUCACACGGUGGACUCACCGAUUGACUUGUAUUCUAUAUCUUA
Molecule: ribosomal RNA, 428 nt
Filed under: Amphistegina lobifera
Lineage: Eukaryota; Foraminifera; Rotaliida; Amphisteginidae
Description: SSU rRNA
Source: RNAcentral